RNAcentral lists this long non-coding RNA (230 nucleotides) under Lathyrus oleraceus (garden pea). RNAcentral's name for it is "Pisum sativum (pea) long non-coding RNA (PSAT_LNC039269)". Lineage: Eukaryota; Viridiplantae; Streptophyta; Magnoliopsida; Fabales; Fabaceae. The record is from RNAcentral.
UGUGCUCUUUAGUCGAAGUUUUGUUCUUCCCCAGUCGAGUAAGAUUCGUAUUCCUUCCGGAAUCGAAUGCCUAUCCUGUAAGUCGAGAUUGCUUUUUCAGCCCUCCUUUCAGAUGAUGAGUGUCUUGGGUAUGUUCCCAAUUCACGCCUGGUUGGUCACCUAUUAUAUGCCCAAUAACCGGUAUCCCUGGUGUUCCUUCCUUCUGCUCCCUAUUAUGACUUUUUUGUCCC